AAAAAUCUAAGGGUCAUUGAGUCCUUGAUUUUGAAAGAGUCAUUUAGAACAAUUAUAAUACAUUGAAUUGAUGUCACCUUUACAAUAAUAUGCUAAAAACCACAUAAAAAAAUCUAAGGGUCAUUGAGUCCUUGAUUUGAAAAGAGUCAUUUAGAAACAAUUAAUAAAUACAAUGAAUUGAUGUCACCUUUAAAAUAAUAUGCAAAAACCAACAUAAAAAAAAUCAAGGGUCCAUUGAAGUCUUGAUUUUGAAAAAGAGUUCAUUUAGAACAAUAUAAACAUUGAAUGAUGUCACCUUAAAACAAUAAUAUGCUAAACCCAAUCACGCCAUUAUCAUAUUGAUUUGAAAUGAUAGGAUUUGGUUUUUAAGGUGAAACAGUGGAAAUUAAGGAAAUGACUAGUUGGUGUCUUUAAUAAAGAACAAAGGGGANACAUUGAAUUGAUGUCACCUUUACAAUAAUAUGCUAAAAACCACAUAAAAAAAUCUAAGGGUCAUUGAGUCCUUGAUUUUGAAAGAGUCAUUUAGAACAAUUAUAAUACAUUGAAUUGAUGUCACCUUUACAAUAAUAUGCUAAAAACCACAAUCACCCAUUAUCAUAUUGAAUUUGAGAUGAUAGGAUUUGGUUUUUUAAAGGUGAAACAGUGAAAUUAGGAAUGACUAGUUGGUGUUCUUAAUAAAGAACAAAGGGGAAUGUUUUAUCUAGGAGUUUUUGGUGAAUAAUGAUCUCCCUUCUCAAUCGUAUAGUUGAGUAUUUAUAGAGCUUCCUUAGAUCGAGAGUCUUCAACACAUAAAUGGUUAUUCUUUCACGUCCUUCAGGAGUGUGAGAUGUGUGGAAACCGUUCUUCUCCUAUAAUUAUGGGAGAUGUGAUUCUUCUUCUUGAUUGACUCAUCUAUUGUGUUGGUGUAGAUGGUUGUGUCAUCACCCACGUUCCUUAGAUAAGUGGAUUGUGAAAACUAUAUUCAAUAGCCCUAACCCAAUCUCAACAUCUUACAAUAAGACAUGGGCGAUCUGAGCGCUACACUAGUACUCGACCGAUAUUCCUUUGGACGACUUAUGGUAUUCGCCCAUUCCCAGUGAACUUUGUAUUGCUUCCUUUGGACCCUCUCCUUUUGAGAUCGGUAAGCUUAUCCCAACACAGGGCCCAACACAAUUAUAUUAGUACAUAGUCCCUCAAGCAUGGAGGCUUCUAAAGGACAAGUUGAUUUAGUUCGAUUGCCUCUAAUCUUCACGUUUGGGCUACCCAUAUAAAGCAGUUAAAGUCGUUCUUAAGGAGAGUCCCUCGAACAUAAUUUAGGGUGAGUCCCUCAAGAAAAAUUCCAGGUGAGUCCCUCAAGCAGAACUUGGGGAGAGUCCCUUAAACAUAAUUAGGGUGAGUCCCUCAAGAAAAAUUCCAGGUGAGUCCCUCAAGUAGAACUUGGGGCGAGUCCCUCAAGCAGACAAUGAGGACGAUAUUAUUUUGGAAGCACGUGCUAAGGAAGAGCACGGGUUAAUAUGGCUUCCAUUCCUGACUCGCACAAUCUCUACUAUUGGACAAAUGACUCCAAGCACAAGAGGGGGUAAAUUGUGUUAUUCAAAAUUUGUGAUUAAUUUAUAAAAAAAAAUUACUUAAAAAAUUCUGUUAGUAAUUAAGAUGAUAAAGUAAAUAACAUAAUUAGAAGAGAUGUAGUUACAUAUAUGGCACCAGAGAAUUAUUCAGGUUCGACCGAAUGUUGGCAUACUCUUGUCUCCAAGAGAUCUUCUUGAGAUUUGACUAUAAUAUUGAGCUUUUACAGGUUAUGUCCACUAGCUUAUCCCCAACCAAAAGAAAUAUUUUCCAUGAGUUUAGUUAACGAACCGAUUAAAGAUUUUACAAGUUGAUCUCAAUAACCAAACAAAACUUUUCUAGGCUAAGUUCUAGAAUCAAACAGAGAUUUUAAGACUGGUUAAUCUCAGGAGCCAAACUCAGUUCUUCAAGAGUAUCACACUUUUGAAAAUAAAAAUGGCACGAUACGAGUACAACUCUUUUCUCACAAACAGUUUUCACUCACAAGGCAUUAUAGAAACUUUGGUGAAAAGAAAAUAUUUUGAGAGAGGGAGAGAGAGAGAGAGAGAGAGAGAGAGAGAGAGGAGAGAGAGAGAGAGAGAGAGAGAGGGAGAAAUUAUAGAAAUCAUGAUUUUUUGUGUGAAAUGAAGAUGAGAGGCACCUUCUUUAUAUAGGAGAAGAUUUAGAUAAAAAAGGAAACGAUUCAUGGGGAAAUUAACUCAGUUAAUCAUUUAGGUCCUAAGUCUAGCCAAUUAGGUACCACAAAUAAUCGAAUAUUUAUGCCCAAUUAGGAAAGUUUGGAUAUAGAUAUGUUACCAAUCAUUAAGACAUUGUCAUAAUAUAUUAUAUAAUCAUUUUUCU
RNAcentral lists this long non-coding RNA (2385 nucleotides) under Lathyrus oleraceus (garden pea). RNAcentral's name for it is "Pisum sativum (pea) long non-coding RNA (PSAT_LNC009968)". Lineage: Eukaryota; Viridiplantae; Streptophyta; Magnoliopsida; Fabales; Fabaceae. The record is from RNAcentral.